CAUAUUUGCAAACAUACAUGUAGACGUACAUAUUUAUGCACUUAUGCGGACAAUAAUAACAUAAAUCAAUGUAAAACAAAAUUAAAAUAUUAGCUUAAUUUUAAUAAAUAAAUGGGGGCUGCCCUGCGGAUAUAUACAAUUAGGUUGGAAUAUAUACAUUAAUACAUAUUAAAUUGCGAAUUUCGUGCUCUUCUACGAAAUUGUUGCGCGCACAUACAUGAAGAUCAAGAUCUGAAAAUGAGGAAAACUAUGGAUAUCUUUCAAAAUGUAAUAGAUAAAUGUUGUUGAAUAAAUAAAAGCUCAAAAAUCUGUUGUCUUGUAUUUUUGUCGGAAUAAAGUAUAUAUAUUGCAUGCGUACUAAUUAGUCGCCGAUUAUGCAAAUUAGGCUGAG
This is a non-coding RNA of Paramuricea clavata, 391 nucleotides long. Lineage: Eukaryota; Metazoa; Cnidaria; Anthozoa; Malacalcyonacea; Plexauridae. The record is from the annotation of a GenBank genome assembly.